GGAGUUGACUGGAUGGUCGCUGCUUCAUUGAUGUCCUUUGGGAGACUGAUGGAGGGGAGGAAAGUCCGGGCUCCAUAGAGCAGGGUGCCAGGUAACGCCUGGGGGGCGCGAGCCCACGACAAGUGCAGCAGAGAGAAAACCGCCGAUGGCCUUCGGGCACAGGUAAGGGUGAAAGGGUGCGGUAAGAGCGCACCGGAUGGCUGGUAACAGUCUAUCGCAAGGUAAACUCCACCCGGAGCAAGACCAAAUAGGCCUUCACAUUGCGUUGCUCGCGUAUGGAGGCGGGUAGGUUGCUUGAGCCAGUGAGCGAUUGCUGGCCUAGACGAAUGGCUAUCACCGCGCAAGCGGAACAGAACCCGGCUUAUGAUGUCAACUCCACCU
RNAcentral lists this RNase P RNA (381 nucleotides) under Vibrio sp. 10N.286.49.B3. RNAcentral's name for it is "Bacterial RNase P class A". It matches the Rfam family "Bacterial RNase P class A". Rfam says of the family: Ribonuclease P (RNase P) is a ubiquitous endoribonuclease, found in archaea, bacteria and eukarya as well as chloroplasts and mitochondria. Its best characterised activity is the generation of mature 5'-ends of tRNAs by cleaving the 5'-leader elements of precursor-tRNAs. Lineage: Bacteria; Pseudomonadati; Pseudomonadota; Gammaproteobacteria; Vibrionales; Vibrionaceae. The record is from Rfam by way of RNAcentral.